AUGUGGCCUGCACCAGUGCUUCUGCUCGUCCAGUCGGCUCUGCUGAUUCAAGGAUCUUCCGCCAAUGAAUUUCUGACCCAGACAGACAAAAUCAAGUCUGUCAGUCUUGGUGGGACGGUGACCAUCAGCGCCACAGGGAGUUCAGACAUUGGUGCUGAUCUCAGUUGGUACCAAGUGAAACCUGGACAGGUUCCAAAACCUCUGAUCUACGAUGCAUCAUCCCGCUUCUCUGGAACACCAUCUCGAUUCAGUGGCACACGAUCUGGCUCUGACUACACUCUGACUAUCAGUGGUGUUCAGGCAGAAGAUGUCGCUGAUUACUACUGUCUCGGCUAUCAUAGCAGUGGAAGGUAUACACGGUGA
Dunckerocampus dactyliophorus (ringed pipefish) is the source of this 363-nucleotide non-coding RNA. NCBI's taxonomy places the organism in Eukaryota, Metazoa, Chordata, Actinopteri, Syngnathiformes, Syngnathidae. The record is from the annotation of a RefSeq genome assembly.